GACGAACGCUGGCGGCGUGCCUAAUACAUGCAAGUUGAGCGCUGAAGGUUGGUACUUGUGCCGACUGGAUGAGCAGCGAACGGGUGAGUAACGCGUGGGGAAUCUGCCUUUGAGCGGGGGACAACAUUUGGAAACGAAUGCUAAUACCGCAUAAAAACUUUAAACACAAGUUUUAAGUUUGAAAGAUGCAAUUGCAUCACUCAAAGAUGAUCCCGCGUUGUAUUAGCUAGUUGGUGAGGUAAAGGCUCACCAAGGCGAUGAUACAUAGCCGACCUGAGAGGGUGAUCGGCCACAUUGGGACUGAGACAAGGCCCAAACUCCUACGGGAGGCAGCAGUAGGGAAUCAUCGGCCAUGGACGAAAGGCUGACCGAGCAACGCCGCGUGAGGGAAGAAGGUUUUCGGAUCGUAAAACUCUGUUGGUAGAGAAGAACGUUGGUGAGAGUGGAAAGCUCAUCAAGUGACGGUAACUAAACAGAAAGGGACGGCUAACUACGUG
RNAcentral lists this ribosomal RNA (497 nucleotides) under uncultured bacterium. RNAcentral's name for it is "partial 16S ribosomal RNA". It matches the Rfam family "Bacterial small subunit ribosomal RNA", at positions 28 to 507 of the family's 1533-position model. The record is from RNAcentral.